Long non-coding RNA from Ictalurus punctatus (channel catfish), 2135 nucleotides. Lineage: Eukaryota; Metazoa; Chordata; Actinopteri; Siluriformes; Ictaluridae. The record is from Ensembl.
CCUGACUGAGGUUGUUUGGGGGUUUUGGUUUCCCCUCGGGUAGAGCACUGUUUGAGAGGGCAUUGUUGCACGAAGUGGCUCUUCUUGCCGCAGUAGAAACAACAAUGUUCACGGCGCCGUCGUUCUCUCUCCUGCAUGCUCACCCGAGUCUGUCCCAGCUGCAUGGGUACACCAGGGCUCUCAGACGCUGGAACUUCCGCUUCGCUGCGUAAGGAGCGGCGGCUCCGUAGUAGACGAUCCAGGCGAAGAGCUAAAUUAAUGAGUGAGUCGAGAGUCAGCUGAUCAUCGCGACACGCCAGCUCCGUUACGAUGUCGGCAUUUAAUCCCCCGCGAAACAUAGUCUUUAGAGCGGGUUGAUUCCAUCCACUCCUAGCGGCCACAGUACGAAAUUCAAGAGCGUAAUCCGCCACACAACGUGAUCCCUGCGCCAAGGAUAAUAAUUCCUCCCCAGUCUCCCGGUUGUCUGGAGAAUGAGUCUCGCAUACAGUGUGGAAACGUGAUGUCAGCUGAUCAUAUGUACCGAUGGCGUUCCCUUCCUGUUCUCAUUCCGCGGUGGCCCAGAGGAGAGCUCUCCCGGUUAUGAGUUCCAUGAAGUGGAUUAUUUUCCGAUUCUCCGUCAUGUCUGGGAGGGACGGCGCAGAGACCUGGUGUUCUUCCCUUCAAGCCUUUCAGACACACCCACUAAGCAUCAGAUGAUUGCUGAUGAAGUUUUUAAUGUUGGAGGCUUUUUUUCUUCUUGAAGCCAGUGGGUUGUACUGAUGGCUAAGAGCAGCAUCUCACCGAGGAAAACUCUGAAGCGAUUGUUUUCCAAAAGCACCGCAGACCUGCAGGAAUCUGGUGAGAAAAAGGAGAGCAAAUUCCACACACUGUUCAAAUGGAGAGAGAAGAAGAAAGACAAGAGAGUGGAGUCUCCUGAACCUGGAUCAACAGAAGAGAAUGAUGGAGGAGACUGGAAUGCUGCAUCUAUCUACGCCACUGUGCCCAGGUCAAAGAAGGGGCUGUUUUCUCAUUCUGAGACUGAACUCCAUAAACCCAAGCGCUUUUCAACACUCUCUUUUGCCUGGAAGAAGAAGAAGAAGAACAGAGAUCUCUCUCAGAGCUCCUCAAGUAUCAAUGUGGAGUCAGAGGUCAGGGGUCAUAUCAGAGGACCAGAGGAUGAAAACAAGAUAGAACAACCUUCCCUCAAUCAACAAGUGCAUUCUGAGGUUGCUGAGAGUAAAUCAGUGGACAUUGAUGUUGGAAACACACAAGGUGAAGAUCAGUACGCAGUAGAAUUUAUGGUAGCUAACACAGCGUGCAUGAACAUUUCAUACAUUGACUCCUCAGUUUCUGGCAGUGAUGGUUACUGUACUCCUCCAGAAAGUCCUAGUUUGGGUGCUUCUCAAUCGCUUAGCAUUAACAGUACUGAAAUGCACCAAUCAUUUAACAAGUACAGCAAAAUUAAUUCACCUGACACCACUAUAUAUGGUACUGCUGAUGAAGGUUCCAGUUUAUCUGUCCUGAGCUCCACAGAGUUCUCUCACAUGAGUUCCUCAAACUCACCCACCAGAAUGUUUGAAGGCCACCUCGCACCAAGCAUUCCCAUUUCCACCAGCAUUGUGGCCUCCUCCAUCAACAGCACACUCAUAAACAGACACCAUUCGGAAAAGAGCAUCAGUGCUGAUAACAGGGAUCACUCUCUCGCACUUCAUCAAUGGGACAUGGGCAAAGAAAAUCCACAGUGGAUUGUAUCAACUGACUCCACCUCUCACAGGGAUGUAGUCGAGAAAUUUGAGGACGUAAACGCUAACCUAGCCUUAGGCUGUCCUGAACAAAGCUCCACUCAGCUCAAUGAAAUCACUGAUUCUAAAAACAGACCUGCAGAAAAGUAUCACAGAGAUAUAUCACUUUAUGAACCUGAGAUAGGAUUCCACAGAGACCGUUCUCACGUCAUUGAUGAUACCGUUCAAUACAAUGAAACUUUUUGGGAAAAUGCAGAGAGCGUGGAUCAUAUUGCAGGUCCUGAUUGUGGUUCAUCCAUCUCAUAUGAAGCUUCUGUAGAAUUAGUUCCUCUUUCCUGUCCUGAUGAUCCAGAGAUCAUCUACUCAACAACAGAAAUUUACAGCUCUUCUUUUGGUGAAAAUUAUGGAAAUCCA